UACGGAGGGUGCAAGCGUUAUCCGGAUUCACUGGGUUUAAAGGGUGCGUAGGAGGGCAGGUAAGUCAGUGGUGAAAUCUUCGAGCUUAACUCGGAAACUGCCGUUGAUACUCUCUGUCUUGAAUACCGUGGAGGUGAGUGGAAUAUGUCAUGUAGCGGUGAAAUGCUUAGAUAUGACAUAGAACACCAAUUGCGAAGGCAGCUCACUACACGCAUAUUGACUCUGAGGCACGAAAGCGUGGGGAGCAAACAGG
This 253-nucleotide ribosomal RNA is filed under the name uncultured bacterium. RNAcentral's name for it is "partial 16S ribosomal RNA". It matches the Rfam family "Bacterial small subunit ribosomal RNA", at positions 524 to 776 of the family's 1533-position model. The record is from RNAcentral.